RNAcentral lists this ribosomal RNA (253 nucleotides) under uncultured bacterium. RNAcentral describes it as "partial 16S ribosomal RNA". It matches the Rfam family "Bacterial small subunit ribosomal RNA", at positions 524 to 776 of the family's 1533-position model. The record is from RNAcentral.
UACGGAGGGGGCUAGCGUUAUUCGGAAUUACUGGGCGUAAAGCGCACGUAGGCGGAUCGUAAAGUCAGAGGUGAAAUCCCAGGGCUCAACCUUGGAACUGCCUUUGAAACUUCCGGUCUUGAGUUCGAGAGAGGUGAGUGGAAUUCCGAGUGUAGAGGUGAAAUUCGUAGAUAUUCGGAGGAACACCAGUGGCGAAGGCGGCUCACUGGCUCGAUACUGACGCUGAGGUGCGAAAGCGUGGGGAGCAAACAGG